This 253-nucleotide ribosomal RNA is filed under the name uncultured bacterium. RNAcentral's name for it is "partial 16S ribosomal RNA". It matches the Rfam family "Bacterial small subunit ribosomal RNA", at positions 524 to 776 of the family's 1533-position model. The record is from RNAcentral.
UACGUAGGGUGCGAGCGUUGUCCGGAAUUACUGGGCGUAAAGAGCUCGUAGGUGGUUUGUCGCGUUGUUCGUGAAAACUCACAGCUUAACUGUGGGCGUGCGGGCGAUACGGGCAGACUGGAGUACUGCAGGGGAGACUGGAAUUCCUGGUGUAGCGGUGGAAUGCGCAGAUAUCAGGAGGAACACCGGUGGCGAAGGCGGGUCUCUUGGCCGAUACUGACGCUGAGGAGCGAAAGCGUGGGGAGCGAACAGG